AUCGGGUGCAGUGGCGCACACCUGUAAUCCCAGGGGCUUGGGAGACUGAGACAGGAGGAUAAUGAGUUCAAAGCCAACCUCAGCAAAAGCAAGGUGCUACGUAACUCAGUGAGACCCUGUCUCUA
RNAcentral lists this small RNA (125 nucleotides) under Marmota monax (woodchuck). Lineage: Eukaryota; Metazoa; Chordata; Mammalia; Rodentia; Sciuridae. The record is from RNAcentral.